RNAcentral lists this ribosomal RNA (254 nucleotides) under uncultured bacterium. RNAcentral describes it as "partial 16S ribosomal RNA". It matches the Rfam family "Bacterial small subunit ribosomal RNA", at positions 524 to 776 of the family's 1533-position model. The record is from RNAcentral.
UACGUAGGGGGCUAGCGUUGUCCGGAAUCAUUGGGCGUAAAGAGCGUGUAGGCGGUCCGGUAAGUCCGCUGUGAAAGUCGGGGGCUCAACCCUCGAAUGCCGGUGGAUACUGCCAUGGCUAGAGUCCGGUAGGGGACCACGGAAUUCCUGGUGUAGCGGUGAAAUGCGCAGAUAUCAGGAGGAACACCGGUGGCGAAGGCGGUGGUCUGGGCCGGAACUGACGCUGAGGAGCGAAAGCGUGGGGAGCGAACAGG